RNAcentral lists this long non-coding RNA (914 nucleotides) under Felis catus (domestic cat). Its description in RNAcentral is "lncRNA (ENSFCAG00000040970.2)". The record is from RNAcentral. Lineage: Eukaryota; Metazoa; Chordata; Mammalia; Carnivora; Felidae.
AAUGUUUGUGUUUACUUCUUUGGGUUUAUUAGGAAUACAUUUUUGCCAGUUGAAAAUAACCUUUUCAUUUCUUCUUCUAGGAUUUUAAACUCCGGUGCUUCUCACCAGGUCCCAGGACUUCACCCACCAGCCGUAAGCAAUGGAAAAGAGGAAGCCUGAUGCGGAGAACGGAUUAUCGAGAGAUAAUGGGAUCCUGAAGGAAGGAGUGACCCAGAAGUCAAAAGAAGGAAGAAUUUCAAGGUUAGACUUCUACAUCAGUGUGAGCGGGGACUUCAUUCAUUCAUCAUGACGUGAGCGACUUCUCUGCUGAGGCAGGCCUCCCUGGGUUGGGACUGAAUGCUGUUCUUUCUGGAAUGACCGAGGACGUCCUCUCAGAAGCAGAGACGCUUCCUGUCUCCUUGGCCACAUUUCUGCUCUGAGAGCAGGGUGCUCCUGUCUGUGCCUUCUCACCACCACCACGUCAGCUUUCAGGCCUGCGGACCCUUCUUCUGUCCCGUCCUCUGGCCCCAGCAUCUCAGAGCCCACCUUCCCCACUGGAUCCCAGGCCCUGCUUCCCACUAAUGCCUUUGAGCCUGCUGGCUGUGGGUCCUCCCUGCUUACUGCUUCCCGCGAGGUUCUGCCUUGGCAGCCCUGGUCCUGGUUUCUCCCCAUCCCCCUCCUCUCUAAAGUCCUGGCAGACGAAACUAGAACAAAGGGACCAAAGGGAAGGGGUAAGAACUCUGGAAGAGGCACCUGCUGUCAUCUGCCUUCUCCUCUGGGCUCUGGCCUCUUUGAAGAGCUGUCCCCAUACACUGCACUGUUAACAUUCACCCGCUGAUCCGUAGCACACGGCCUUCCCUUCCCCACCAUCUGUGCGCCAACAUAACUGCCUGGCUGUGCACACUGCAGACUGUAAAUAAACCAGUAGUCUCAAC